UAUUCAGGAUCUGAAACAAGGUCCAGAGCCUUCAUUACGUCUUCUAGUAGAGUGUCAGGUAUAAAGCCAUUAUCCUCAGGGUCGUAAGUCUGGAAAACUCUCCUAGCUUGUUCAGAAGGCGCUUCAGGAGCAACAAGAGCCAUAUCCUUGGCAAAAAAGACUGUGAGGUGUGUUUCACUGCCGAGUAUCCAGAUGGGGAACUUUGGAGAUUUCAAAUAGGAGCCAACCUUACAGUAUCUCAGAGAUUCCAUUAGUGUCAGAAAGCCUACUGUUGCUUGUUUAUGUAUGCCAAGAAGCUUCAUUCCUGAACAUUCUCUGUCUCCAUCCCACACAUUAGAAACAGCAUGCCCCGUCAACAGGAGGUUAAUUAAACUUUGGCUUCCAUGACCAUAAACAGGAUCUAUCAAUGGCUCAGUUGCAUCCUCAAUUUCAUUUUUUAUGUUUUCAGUACCCUUUGUCAGUAUCACAGAAUACAGAAAGAGUAAUACUCCAAAUCUGUUUGUCCACAC
This 509-nucleotide long non-coding RNA is filed under the name Gallus gallus (chicken). The record is from RNAcentral. Lineage: Eukaryota; Metazoa; Chordata; Aves; Galliformes; Phasianidae.